RNAcentral lists this ribosomal RNA (504 nucleotides) under Fimoscolex sp. PG. RNAcentral's name for it is "partial 16S ribosomal RNA". It matches the Rfam family "Bacterial large subunit ribosomal RNA", at positions 1808 to 2606 of the family's 2925-position model. The record is from RNAcentral. Lineage: Eukaryota; Metazoa; Annelida; Clitellata; Crassiclitellata; Glossoscolecidae.
CAAAAACAUUGCUUUUUGACUUAUUAAUAAAAAGUAACUCCUGCCCAGUGAUUAAUUUUCAACGGCCGCGGUAUCCUAACCGUGCAAAGGUAGCAUAAUCAUUUGCCCAUUAAUUGUGGGCUAGAAUGAACGGAUAAACGAAAUAAAAACUGUCUCAACUAAAUAUAUAAAAAUUAAUAUCUAAUUGAAGAAGCUUAGAUAACACCAAAGGACAAGAAGACCCUAUAGAGCUUUAUUUUAAAUAAAGAAUAUACUUUACAAAAAAUUCGGUUGGGGCGACCAAGGAACAAUCAAACAUCCUACAUAAACAAAGAUCAACAAAUCAAGUAAAAGACCCUUCAAAAAGAUCAAAGAAAUAAGCUACCUUAGGGAUAACAGGCUAAUCCCAUUAAAGAGCCCUUAUCAAUAAUGGGGUUUGGCACCUCGAUGUUGGCUUAGGGUAUCUAUAUGACGCAAAAGUUAUAUAAAGAUGGUUUGUUCAACCAAUAAUUUCCUACGUGAUCU